RNAcentral lists this ribosomal RNA (433 nucleotides) under uncultured bacterium. Its description in RNAcentral is "bacterial SSU rRNA". It matches the Rfam family "Bacterial small subunit ribosomal RNA", at positions 28 to 434 of the family's 1533-position model. The record is from RNAcentral.
GACGAGCGCUGGCGGCGUGCCUAAUACAUGCAAGUCGAACGCUUCUUUUUCCACCGGAGCUUGCUCCAUCGGAAAAAGAGGAGUGGCGAACGGGUGAGUAACACGUGGGUAACCUGCCCAUCAGAAGGGGAUAACACUUGGAAACAGGUGCUAAUACCGUAUAACAAUCGAAACCGCAUGGUUUUGAUUUGAAAGGCGCUUUCGGGUGUCGCUGAUGGAUGGACCCGCGGUGCAUUAGCUAGUUGGUGAGGUAACGGCUCACCAAGGCGACGAUGCAUAGCCGACCUGAGAGGGGUGAUCGGGCCACAUUGGGACUGAGACACGGGCCCAAACUCCUACGGGAGGCAGGCAGUAGGGAAUCUUCGGGCAAUGGGACGAAAGUCUGACCGAGCAACGCUGCGUGAGUGAAGAGGUUUUCGGAUCGUAAAACUCU